RNAcentral lists this ribosomal RNA (446 nucleotides) under uncultured bacterium. Its description in RNAcentral is "partial 16S ribosomal RNA". It matches the Rfam family "Bacterial small subunit ribosomal RNA", at positions 338 to 795 of the family's 1533-position model. The record is from RNAcentral.
CCUACGGGGAGCAGCAGUCGAGAAUCAUUCACAAUGGGGGAAACCCUGAUGGUGCGACGCCGCGUGGGGGAAUGAAGUUCUUCGGAUUGUAAACCCCUGUCAUGUGGGAGCAAAUUAAAAAGAUAGUACCCCACGAGGAAGAGACGGCUAACUCUGUGCCAGCAGCCGCGGUAAUACAGAGGGCUCAAGCGUUGUUCGGAAUCACUGGGCGUAAGGCGUGCGUAGGCUGUUUCGUAAGUCGUGUGUGAAAGGUGCGGGCUCAACCCGCGCACGGCACAUGAUACUGCGAGACUAGAGUAAUGGAGGGGGGACCGGAAUUCUCGGUGUAGCAGUGAAAUGCGUAGAUAUCGAGAGGAACACUCGUGGCGAAGGCGGGUUCCUGGACAUUAACUGACGCUGAGGCACGAAGGCCAGGGGAGCGAAAGGGAUUAGAUACCCCGGUAGUC